Long non-coding RNA from Glycine soja, 2114 nucleotides. RefSeq lists it as uncharacterized. The record is from RefSeq and is a predicted model, not a curated record. The transcript has 2 exons. Lineage: Eukaryota; Viridiplantae; Streptophyta; Magnoliopsida; Fabales; Fabaceae.
CGAAUGUGACGUGUGCGUGGACAAAAGAAUUAAGAGCGUGCUGAAGUGGGCCGCAUGGAUGCAUUGUUAGGCCCACGCCAUAAACACAAAGCUACAAGAAGCACUCAAAUCAGAACUAGAUCAAGCAGGCAACUCUCUCUCUCCGUCGGAGAAAACUGACAGAAGAAUGGAAGUACUCGAAGGAUUUCCUUUCGCUUUCAGUUUUUGGAUCUACACGACGAUACCCAUACAUACCCCUAUGCUAAUGCAAGGUGAAUUUCCGGGUUCCGUUCCAACAUGUUCAUGAUAUUUUUAUCUGAUAGCUAUUAAUAUAAUGAUCGCAUAGCGGAGUGGAUAUCGCGUUAGACUCCGGAUCUAAAGGUCGUGGGUUCGAAUCCCACUGCGAUCGCUUCUUUCUUUCUUUCUUUUCUAAAAUGCUGAUUUUUCAUUUUUUUUGCCUUUUUUCUUCUUCUUCCGUCUGUAUUUGAUUUGUUCCCAUUAAUUCUGAAAUGAUUCACCUUAUUUAUUUGGAAUUGCGUGGUUUUGAUGUCCAAAUCUUUUCUCACAACUGAUGUUUUUGCCUUCUGUCAAAUUGAAGCAGUAAAGUUAAUUGAUCAAUAAUCUAAUUGGAGCCGAUCGGACUUGUUGAAUUUGAGCAAUGGUUUAUUUGUGUUGGCAGGUUUACCCUCUUUUAAAUGUCAGCUUAUUAUUUGGCUGGUUUAUAAAUCUUCUAUAUUCGCCCCUAUGCAUUGCGGAGUUGCAAAAUGAAAUGAAUUAAACUUCUCUUAUAAGUUAAAAUCAAUUUAUACACUUUAACUUUUGUAGAAACUUUCUUAUUUAACUUCUCUAAAAAUUGAGGUACGUAAGUUGAUUUUAACUUACAAAUAAAAGAAGUUUCAUUCAUUUUGUUUUUAUUUUCUUCUACAGAGUACUUUUUGUUUUGAUAAGUUUGUUUAUUCAAACUGACCUCAAGAUUUGCACUUUUAAUAACAUGUAAUGUAAGGAAAUGUUUUUGUGCUUCACUUGAUGAUGUUGCCCUUAAAGUUAUAGUUUGUGUGUGUUUGGCUUAAUUUAUUUUGAAGCAAUAAUCGUUUAUUUUUGUUAAAUGUUGAGUCUUCUAAAAAUAUUCUAUUAUUUAUCUAGAUUUAAGCUUGUACCAAACAUGCUAAAAUACGAAAAUGGUGGGAAUAUACAGCUAGUUGAUGUCUUCAUGAUCAUGUGUGUCCUCGUUGGCAUAUGAUAAAAACUUUAGGUUGUGAAGUUUGGUAUAUAGUUUAGCUAAAGGCAUAGGUGUGAUACUCUUUUCUGUCCACUGUCUGCCUAUCUUCUAGACCCUUCUUGUCUUUUUGUAAAGUUGCUCUUAUAUGAGGUAACUCAGUUGCAAUGACAGUUGCUCAUUCGUGCAUUUGCAUUGUGAUAGAUAAGAUUCAAAGAAUGUCAGAAGUGAGCAACAACCAUGGCUUAUUAGUCAGAUGUUUUCUAAUGUUGGAACAUGAGCAGAGUUGUUUUAAUGAAAUUGUAGUUUUAGAGAACUAGAAUGAAUGGUUGAAAAUGCUCCUUCACUUUUGUGAGUUCCGGUGCUUACAGACCUUGUUGUUAUCUUCUGAUUUGGGCUAUUUCAUCAUGUGUUAUCUUCUUGGAACCAUUUUGCCAUGUCUACUCUGGCGUGAAAGAAACAGGUGGUGUUUAUGUGGAUCCUUAGUAAUUUGCCGUGAUGUGAAACUAAAGUUGCUGUCUUCUCCUAGCUUUAAUUAUAAUAUAUAUGAUUAUAAAUGCAUUAAACAGGGUUCUUGUCCUGUUUUGGAUAUCAUUGUGAAGUGAAGUUUGCACUGUUGAAGUACUCAACAUGCUUUUUGGGAAAAAUGCGCACGCCCAUCUCAUGGCAUGGAUAUAUUUGCAUGCCAUCGAUAAUUCUCACCUUUCCUUGCUGUAAAGAACUUCAAUCCAUUUGUAAUUUAACAUAAUUUUACGUAUAAUUUUUCAUGAUAUGUUGUUUGUCAUUAUUACAUGUUAGGCAAGAUUUGAGUUUUUAUUCAUUUUUACAUUAUGUUAAUUUUGUGUCAGCUUUGAUCACAAUCUUUGAAAAAGAUUCGGUAUGCCUUGCAUAAUACUCAAGUGGAAGGGGUUUGAACUUU